Sebastes umbrosus (honeycomb rockfish) is the source of this 378-nucleotide non-coding RNA. The record is from the annotation of a RefSeq genome assembly. NCBI's taxonomy places the organism in Eukaryota, Metazoa, Chordata, Actinopteri, Perciformes, Sebastidae.
AUGACUCUCAUCACCAUCCUCAUCUGGACGCUGGCCUGCUGCUGUUUUACAGGAUGCAGCGGUCAGGUGACUGUGACUCAGCCUCCAGUAGUGACACCUACUCCAGGAUCCACCGUCUCUCUCACCUGUAAGAUUAGUGAACCUGUUUACAUCUGUAACGAUGUUGGUUUAUGUCUGUUCUGGUAUCAACAGAAACCUGGACAGCCUCCAAAGCUCCUCAUAAGACAUACGAGCAUAAGACAUUCAGGAACAGCAGCUCGGUUUAGUGGCAGUGGAAGCAGCUCUGACUUCACUUUGACCAUCAGUGGAGUUCAGACUGAAGACGCAGCAGUUUAUUACUGUCAGAGUGCCCACAACAGUGCAGGGUUCACACAGUGA